This is a long non-coding RNA of Siniperca chuatsi (mandarin fish), 410 nucleotides long. RefSeq lists it as uncharacterized. The record is from RefSeq and is a predicted model, not a curated record. NCBI's taxonomy places the organism in Eukaryota, Metazoa, Chordata, Actinopteri, Centrarchiformes, Sinipercidae. The transcript is spliced from 2 exons.
GGUAGUCUGCCACCUUUUCCUCUCCAGCCCUGUGUUCUCUGUUGUGUUCCCCUUCCUGGUGUGUCUUGUGGGUCCCCUACUUGUCUUUGGAUAUGUGUGUGUGUAUGUGUGUAUGUUUCCUGCCUGGCUCUAGGAACCUCCCACCUGUGGCUGAUCACCAGCACACCUGUCUCCUAUCUACUCAUCAGUCUUCACAGCUUAUAUACCAGGCUUUUCCACUACUCCGACGCCAGAUCGUCCCCGUACAUUGCAUUACCCGGUGCUGGUGAUCGCCGCUCCUGUGGUUUCCUGGAUUCCUGUCUGCCUGUCUGCCUGCUUCUCCAGCCAGCUUCACCUUGCCUGUCGUCAUCUGUUUACACUGCUCAUUCACCAUUCGACUUUAUUACGAAUAAAGUGUGUUUUGGAUUACA